GAAAUCUUAACUUUUUAGUUUUAAGUAUAUGCAUCAGAACUUGAAAUGAAUCUGAAUCAUACCACGUCUUCUUUUUUAUACUUUUUGAGGCAUUUUAUUAGAUAUGAUUUUAUGUAAAAUACUAGAUAUGCUCUGCCAGGCUCAGUGUUAUAUGACAGCAGAGGUUAAACCCUGAAAAGUUGGGGCAAGUAUAAACACCUUGUUUACGUUUGAAACAGCUCUGAAUUUUGAUUGAUAAAAAUAUUCGACACAGCAUAAAUUUGGAUUCUGACACAGAAGGAAUGUGGUAAAAAAAACUAGAGAAUUUGAAAUUGGACUUUUACUUACUAUGAUCCAAAAUCUGAAUAAAUGGUUAGAUUAGGCCAUAACAAAGGGGACUUACCACCCAAGUACACCAAGAAUUACAUUUAUCUAUUAAUUAAUGGACAAAAUAUGCUAAAGACCUAAUAAACUAGCUGUUAUCACAGAGAUAUGUCUCGCUUUUUGUAAUUUCUAUAAUGCAAAUGUUGAAAUUAAAAUAGCAACACUAUAACAUGCAAGUUUUGCAAAAAAUCAAAUUCAAUGAACCAUGACUGAAGGUACAUGUACAUGACUUAACAAUCUCCAUGGAAAUGAGAUGUGUCAAUGCUUAUCCAACUGCAUCCCAAAUACCAUUGACUUAUCAUAACUAGUUCCCUUUAAAAAACAUAAACACUUCUAAGUCAAUAAACCAUAACUGAGGGUCGGGGUAAAAUAAUCUCCAUGGAAAUGAGAUAUGCCAAUGUUAAUACAACUGAAUACCAAAUAUCAUUGACCUAGCUACCACUAGUAGUUCUCCAUAAACCAAUCUUACCACAAACUUAUCAUAAAAAACUUAAGUAAAAGUUUCAAAGUCAAUGGACCAUGACUGAGAGGGCGGGGCAAAUAAUUUUCAUGGAAAUGAGGUAUGCCAAUGCUUAUACAACUGCAUACCAAUUAUCAUUAACUUACCACUAGUGGUUCCUCAUAUUCAUAAACUGACAUAAUCACAAACUAAUACAUGAAAACUAAGCUUACCACUAGUGGUUCACCAUAAACUAGACCUAAUCACAAACUAGUACAUUAUUGAAGGCGCUGCCGUCGCCAGAAACAGCAUACCUAUGUCUCGCUUUUUGACUCUGUCAAGCGAGAUAAAAAUAAAAAAUCUGAAGGCAUGUUUUUAGAUUCAUAAUAUCAAAGAACCCCGGGAAUUCUAUUAUUUUUAAAAAUCAAACUAAGUUUAAUAACUAUAAGUACUUAUAAUAAGACUAUAAGUACCUUGAUGUAAACCAAAUUGAAAACCAAUACCAAAAUAAAAAAUCUAAAAAAUGGUUAGAUUCAGCAUGAACCCAAAGAAUUCUGGCUUUUUAAAACAAGCUGAAAUGUCUCGCCUUCUUUACUAAUCAUUGAUAUUAUGUUGAUAGUCUUAAGUAUAAAGCUUUAUAACAACUGUCACAUAACUUAACAUUAACCAAGAUAACAAAGACCAAUGAACCAUGAAAAUGAGGUCAAGGUCAGAUGAAACAUGCCAGACAGACAUGUACAGCUAACAAUGCUUUCAUACAACAAAUAUAGUUGAC
RNAcentral lists this long non-coding RNA (1577 nucleotides) under Mytilus galloprovincialis (Mediterranean mussel). The record is from RNAcentral. Lineage: Eukaryota; Metazoa; Mollusca; Bivalvia; Mytilida; Mytilidae.